Molecule: ribosomal RNA, 204 nt
Filed under: uncultured bacterium
Lineage: Bacteria
Description: partial 16S ribosomal RNA
Rfam family: Bacterial small subunit ribosomal RNA
Source: RNAcentral
AUUGAAGGCUGAAAUUCGCCUUCAUGAAGUCGGAAUUGCUAGUAAUGGCAGGUCAGCAUACUGCCGUGAAUACGUUCCCGGGCCUUGUACACACCGCCCGUCACACCAUGAGAGUUGGAGAUACCCGAAGCCUAUGAGCUUAACUUUUAGAGGCAGUAGUCGAAGGUAGAAUCAAUGAUUGGGGUGAAGUCGUAACAAGGUACC